Molecule: small nuclear RNA, 201 nt
Organism: Ursus americanus (American black bear)
Lineage: Eukaryota; Metazoa; Chordata; Mammalia; Carnivora; Ursidae
Gene: U4
Rfam family: U4 spliceosomal RNA
About the family: U4 small nuclear RNA (U4 snRNA) is a component of the major U2-dependent spliceosome.
Source: Ensembl
AGCUUUGCGCAGUGGCAGUAUCUUAGCCAAUGAGGUUUAUCCGAGGCGCGAUUAUUGCUAAUUGAAAACUUUUCUCAAGUGUCACCUUCCUCAUGAAGCCCCAUGAAGUUUUCCCUAACAACUCCAGGUUAGUCUCUCGCCUCUAAAUUCCCACUGUCUCUUUGUAUGUAGGAAAGCGAUUUUAUCUACCCUUUGAAACGG